GACGAACGCUGGCGGCGUGCUUAACACAUGCAAGUCGAACGGUCAAGCUCCAGCUUUCUGGCUUGGAUCAUUGGCGAAUGGGUGAGUAACACGCGAGCAACCUGCCCCUGUCUCUGGAAUAAGCCCUGGAAACGGCGUCUAAUACUGGAUACGAUAAUUGUCCGCAUGUGCACUUUCUGUAAAGUUUGUCGUUUUGGUAUGGGCUGGCGGCCUAUCAGCUUGUUGGUGAGGUAAUGGCUCACCAAGGAGACGACGGGUAGCCGGCCUGAGAGGGCGACCGGCCACACAGGGACUGAGACACGACCCAGACUCAUACGGCAGGAAGCAGUGGAGAAUAUUGCACAAUGGGCGACAGCAGGAAGCAGGGACGCCGCGUGGGGGAUGACGGCCUUCGGGUUGUAAAACUCUUUCAGCAGGGAAGAAGCGACAGGAACGGUACCAGCAGAAGAAGCACCGGCAAAUUACGU
This 467-nucleotide ribosomal RNA is filed under the name uncultured bacterium. RNAcentral's name for it is "partial 16S ribosomal RNA". It matches the Rfam family "Bacterial small subunit ribosomal RNA", at positions 28 to 506 of the family's 1533-position model. The record is from RNAcentral.